Molecule: small nuclear RNA, 135 nt
Organism: Artibeus jamaicensis (Jamaican fruit-eating bat)
Lineage: Eukaryota; Metazoa; Chordata; Mammalia; Chiroptera; Phyllostomidae
Product: U4 spliceosomal RNA
Exons: 1
Source: RefSeq, a predicted model, not a curated record
AGCUUUGCGCAGUGGCAGUAUUGUAGCCAACAAGGUUUAUCUGAGGCACAAUUAUUGCUAAUUAAAGUAUAAGGAAUAUUAUCCUCUCAUUUUCUUAGCUACAAAAGCAGUAUUAUUUUAGAAACAGUAAAUGUU